RNAcentral lists this long non-coding RNA (999 nucleotides) under Homo sapiens (human). RNAcentral's name for it is "HSALNT0055927". Lineage: Eukaryota; Metazoa; Chordata; Mammalia; Primates; Hominidae. The record is from RNAcentral.
AAGAUGUUAUCACCAGAGGAAGCUGCAUUAAAAGUACCCUUCUCUAUGGUAUGUCUUACAACUGCAGAUGAAUCUACGGUUCCCUCAAAACAAAAAGGUUGGGAACAUGACCUAAUGGUGUGCUACCAUGCAGCUCUUUCCAGCUCCAUGUUCAGUGACUUCAUAUUGGCUGGCCUUUGUGACUUGCUUUGUACAGCUGAUGUGACAUCUUGAGACAUCUGAGGUCAAGGCCUUAAGAAGACUGGUCGUUUUUUCUGGAUGCUAAGAGAAGAAAGUGAUUCAAGGAGGAGGGUGUAAUCAACUUCAUCAAGUGCUGCUGACAAGUCAAGUAGGAUGAGGACCAGGAAGUGGUCAUUGGAAAUACCAGUGUGGAUGUCAUUUGCGAUUUGGUAGAUAGUAAUCCGAGUGGAGCAUUUGGAGCAAAAUCCUGGUUUAAGUAGAUUUAAGAAGAAAUUGGAAGAAAGAAAUUGGAGACAAUGAGUACAAAUAACUCUUUCUUCUCUUGCUAGAAAUCCAAGAGCAACAGAGCAAUGACUGAAGGAAGGUGCUGAUAAAUCACAAGAGCAUUUUUUUUCAAGGUGGUAGAAAUAACAUCAGCUUAUCUAAAUGCUGUAAUACACUUCUGAACCUUAACCUAUAAUUUAAAGACAGUACAGACUUGUUGCAAAAACACGAUUUCUAAAAGCAAGGUUAAUCCUUACCACAUAAUAUCUUGGCAAAAAUUAUCUUCCUUGUGUUUCAAUUUCAUCAUUUGUAAUAUGAAUUAAAAUAACCACUUUACAGAGGAGUUGGCCUGGUAAAAUUUUUUUAUUUAAGGUUCUAAGUUUGAUAGUUCUCAUUGUUCCAUAUUCUUUCAUUUGCAACUUGGUAGAAAAUAUCAAAAUUGAUUCCAAGCAAUAAUGAUUUUGAUAAAUGUAUUAGGCCAUUCUUGCAUUGCUGUAAAGAAAAUACCUGAGACUGGAUAAUUUAUGAAAAGAGAGGUUUAAUUGGCUCAUGGUU